GAGCUAAACCAAUACAGUUAUGUUUUUUAAUGAUAAACUGCUACUGUAGGUUUUCUUGACAAACUGAGGAAGUUCCCGCUGUCCUCCAGCGUUGGGAUCACAACAGCUCUGAAGGUUCUAGAAUCUGAAUGUUAUACACAGGAGGAUACAGCUGGAGGUGGAUAGGUAGAACCGCUCCCUAAAGAAGGUCCCUAGACUCUGAAUGUUAUACACAGGAGGAAACAGCUGGAGGUGGAUAGGUAGAACCCUAAAGAAGGUCCCUAGAAUCUGAAUGUUAUACACAGGAGGAAACAGCUGGAGGUGGAUAGGUAGAACCCUAAAGAAGGUCCCUAGAAUCUGAAUGUUAUACACAGGAGGAAACAGCUGGAGGUGGAUAGGUAGAACCCUAAAGAAGGUCCCUAGAAUCUGAAUGUUAUACACAGGAGGAAACAGCUGGAGGUGGAUAGGUAGAACCCUAAAGAAGGUCCCUAGAAUCUGAAUGUUAUACACAGGAGGAAACAGCUGGAGGUGGAUAGGUAGAACCCUAAAGAAGGUCCCUAGAAUCUGAAUGUUAUACACAGGAGGAAACAGCUGGAGGUGGAUAGGUAGAACCCUAAAGAAGGUCCCUAGAAUCUGAAUGUUAUACACAGGAGGAAACAGCUGGAGGUGGAUAGGUAGAACCCUAAAGAAGGUCCCUAGAAUCUGAAUGUUAUACACAGGAGGAAACAGCUGGAGGUGGAUAGGUAGAACCCUAAAGAAGGUCCCUAGAAUCUGAAUGUUAUACACAGGAGGGAACAGCUGGAGGUGGAUAGGUAGAACCCUAAAGAAGGUCCCUAGAAUCUGAAUGUUAUACACAGGAGGAAACAGCUGGAGGUGGAUAGGUAGAACCCUAAAGAAGGGAUUACUUUAACUCAAUUAUAAGUCAAAAAACCAACAGCCACUCUUAGAUAAAGAGGUUGAACUCAGGUUCAAUUCACAGCAUGACAACAGCCAGCCAGUGUUAACAAAUUAUUGUGUUUGGA
This is a long non-coding RNA of Oncorhynchus keta (chum salmon), 1001 nucleotides long. RefSeq lists it as uncharacterized. The transcript is spliced from 5 exons. Lineage: Eukaryota; Metazoa; Chordata; Actinopteri; Salmoniformes; Salmonidae. The record is from RefSeq and is a predicted model, not a curated record.